Molecule: non-coding RNA, 182 nt
Filed under: Mariprofundaceae bacterium
Lineage: Bacteria; Pseudomonadati; Pseudomonadota; Candidatius Mariprofundia; Mariprofundales; Mariprofundaceae
Description: 6S RNA
Rfam family: 6S / SsrS RNA
About the family: E. coli 6S RNA was the first non coding RNA to be sequenced, but its function was unknown until recently.
Source: RNAcentral
GCGUCCCUGUGUUGAACGACAAACACUAAAGUUGGCAGAGCCGAUACGUGUCGACAGGGGAUACCGCUAUUGCAACUGUGUGAGUCCCUCUUUUAGCUGGGAAACCUGAUGUUGCGAUGCACUGCCCACCUCACUUUUGAGGGUUCGACAACUUCGUGUCUUGACGGCAAUGCGGGGAUGCU